Molecule: ribosomal RNA, 203 nt
Filed under: uncultured bacterium
Lineage: Bacteria
Description: partial 16S ribosomal RNA
Rfam family: Bacterial small subunit ribosomal RNA
Source: RNAcentral
AUUGCAGGCUGCAACCCGCCUGCAUGAAGUCGGAAUUGCUAGUAAUCGCGGAUCAGCAUGCCGCGGUGAAUACGUUCCCGGGCCUUGUACACACCGCCCGUCACACCAUGGGAGCCGGUAAUACCCGAAGUCAGUAGUCCAACCUCGUGAGGACGCUGCCGAAGGUAGGAUUGGCGACGUGGGUGAAGUCGUAACAAGGUACC